This 253-nucleotide ribosomal RNA is filed under the name uncultured bacterium. RNAcentral describes it as "partial 16S ribosomal RNA". It matches the Rfam family "Bacterial small subunit ribosomal RNA", at positions 524 to 776 of the family's 1533-position model. The record is from RNAcentral.
UACGUAGGGGGCAAGCGUUGUCCGGAUUUAUUGGGCGUAAAGAGCGUGUAGGCGGCUGGGUAGGUCCGUUGUGAAAACUCGAGGCUCAACCUCGAGACGCCGAUGGAAACCCCCCAGCUAGAGUCCGGAAGAGGAGAGUGGAAUUCCUGGUGUAGCGGUGAAAUGCGUAGAUAUCGAGAGGAACACCUGCGGCGAAGGCGGGUUGCUGGGCCGACACUGACGCUGAUGCGCGAAAGCCAGGGGAGCGAACGGG